AGCGAACGCUGGCGGCGUGCCUAACACAUGCAAGUCGAACGUGAACGGAGCAAUCCUAGUAAAGUGGCGUACGGGUGAGUAACACGUAGGUAAUCUACCUUAGUGUCUGGAAUAACCUGACGAAAGUCGGGCUAAUACUGGAUAGAGCGACGGAAGCCGUAACGGUUUUUUCGGGAAAGGGAGCUCGAUAAGAGCCUUCGCACUAAGAUGAGCCUGCGUCUGAUUAGUUAGUUGGUGGGGUAAUGGCCUACCAAGACGAUGAUCAGUAGCUGGUCUGAGAGGAUGAUCAGCCACACUGGAACUGAAACACGGUCCAGACUCCUACGGGAGGCAGCAGUGGGGAAUCUUGCGCAAUGGACGAAAGUCUGACGCAGCCACGCCGCGUGAGUGAAGAAGGCCUUCGGGUUGUAAAGCUCUGUCACCUGGGACGAAAACACUGAAGGUUAAUAGCCUUCGGAAUUGACGGUACCAGGGGAGGAAGCACCGGCUAACUUCGUGCCAGCCGCCGCAGUAA
RNAcentral lists this ribosomal RNA (514 nucleotides) under uncultured bacterium. RNAcentral's name for it is "partial 16S ribosomal RNA". It matches the Rfam family "Bacterial small subunit ribosomal RNA", at positions 29 to 523 of the family's 1533-position model. The record is from RNAcentral.